AUUGAACGCUGGCGGCAUGCCUUACACAUGCAAAUCGAACGGUAACGGGCCUUCGGGUGCCGACGAGUGGCGAACGGGUGAGUAAUACAUCGGAACGUGCCCGAUCGUGGGGGAUAACGAGGCGAAAGCUUUGCUAAUACCGCAUACGAUCUACGGAUGAAAGCAGGGGACCGCAAGGCCUUGCGCGGACGGAGCGGCCGAUGGCAGAUUAGGUAGUUGGUGGGAUAAAAGCUUACCAAGCCGACGAUCUGUAGCUGGUCUGAGAGGAUGAUCAGCCACACUGGGACGGAGACGCGCCCGAGACGCCUAGGGGAGGGACCGGUGGGGAUUUGUGGACAAGGGGCGAAAGCGUGACCCAGCAAGGCCGCGUGCAGGAGGAGGGCCUUGGGUUUGAAAAUUUAUUUUAUAGGGAAAAAAAACCUUUCUUUAAAAAAGGGGGGGUCAUGAGGGUACCGAAAAAAAAAGCCCCGGCUAACUACGUG
RNAcentral lists this ribosomal RNA (482 nucleotides) under uncultured bacterium. Its description in RNAcentral is "partial 16S ribosomal RNA". It matches the Rfam family "Bacterial small subunit ribosomal RNA", at positions 29 to 507 of the family's 1533-position model. The record is from RNAcentral.